CUACUGCACUUUUUAACAAGUACUCACCUUGUGUGCAAUGUUUGCUGUCGAGUCGUUUAUUCGUCUCGACAGCACAAUACCAACCUUUUAUUGUAAAUUUUUUGUCUGAAGCUAUUUCGAAUAUAUAAUUCUAAAUACAACUUUCAACAACGGAUCUCUUGGCUCUCGCAUCGAUGAAGAACGCAGCGAAAUGCGAUACGUAAUGUGAAUUGCAGAAUUCAGUGAAUCAUCGAAUCUUUGAACGCACCUUGCGCUCCUUGGUAUUCCGAGGAGCAUGCCUGUUUGAGUGUCAUUAAUAUAUCAACCUUCUCUUUUUGAGUGGUUUGGAUGUGGGGGUUUGCUGGCCUCUUAAAAAGGUCUUGGCUCUCCUGAAAUGCAUUAGCAGAACAACCCUGUUCAUUGGUGUGAUAAACUAUCUACGCUAUUGAAUGUGAAGGGCAGUUUGGCUUUCUAACAGUCCUUGGACAAGCUCAUCAUUAAUGUGACCUCAAAUCAGGUAGGACUACCCGCUGAACUUAAGCAUAUCAAUAAGCGGAGGAA
RNAcentral lists this ribosomal RNA (540 nucleotides) under uncultured Cortinarius. Its description in RNAcentral is "eukaryotic LSU rRNA". The stretch from base 139 to 292 matches the Rfam family "5.8S ribosomal RNA". The record is from RNAcentral. Lineage: Eukaryota; Fungi; Basidiomycota; Agaricomycetes; Agaricales; Cortinariaceae.